Long non-coding RNA from Lolium rigidum, 178 nucleotides. RefSeq lists it as uncharacterized. The transcript has 2 exons. Lineage: Eukaryota; Viridiplantae; Streptophyta; Magnoliopsida; Poales; Poaceae. The record is from RefSeq and is a predicted model, not a curated record.
UGAUGAUGCCCUGUUGUUCUUGGUCACAAUUCCAAAUUCCACAAGUGCCAUCGCAAAGUCAAACAAAAUUAUACCCCUACAUUCUGUGAUGCAAUGACGAUGGAUGAGUCAAAUUGUUAGCCUAGUAGAAAGCAUAGGUUCAUUGGCAUUCCGGAAAUAGAAAGUUCACUUGCCUAUA